This 253-nucleotide ribosomal RNA is filed under the name uncultured bacterium. Its description in RNAcentral is "partial 16S ribosomal RNA". It matches the Rfam family "Bacterial small subunit ribosomal RNA", at positions 524 to 776 of the family's 1533-position model. The record is from RNAcentral.
GACAGAGGGUGCAAACGUUGUUCGGAAUUACUGGGCGUAAAGCGUGUGUAGGCGGUCUCGUAAGUCGGAUGUGAAAGCCCUGGGCUCAACCCAGGAAGUGCACUCGAAACUGCGAGGCUAGAGUAUCGGAGAGGUUGGUGGAAUUCUCGGUGUAGAGGUGAAAUUCGUAGAUAUCGAGAGGAAUACCGGUGGCGAAGGCGGCCUUCUGGACGGUGACUGACGCUGAGACGCGAAAGCGUGGGGAGCAAACAGG